UGUGUCUGAAAAUUCCCCUCAGGAUUGGUGGUGCUGUUCAUGAAGGAGAGAACCAGCACUAUGUAACCAGGCAGCUGUAAACCUUCAGCUGCAGUCCACUGACAGGAAUCUAUAGACCAUCAGUUUGCGAAUCCUCUGCUUUAGACCUCUAAACGAUUCAGCAUUUACGGGUCAGCUAAAUCAAAGGAGGUGAUCCUUAUUCUGAAGAAACAGUCUGGGUAGGGAGGUGGGUUGUCCUGCUUCCACUGUCCUAGGAAUAAAGGUAAGCCUUCUUUGAGAGCCUUCA
Molecule: long non-coding RNA, 286 nt
Filed under: Dromaius novaehollandiae (emu)
Lineage: Eukaryota; Metazoa; Chordata; Aves; Casuariiformes; Dromaiidae
Description: lncRNA (ENSDNVG00000011878.1)
Source: RNAcentral